AAGGAAGGUCUGAAACUUGAUGAGAGUGAUGAUGAGAAGAAAAAGAAGGAAGCUUUGAAGGAAAAGUUUGAGGGUCUCUGCAAGGUUAUCAAGGACGUUUUGGGUGACAAGGUUGAGAAGGUUGUGGUCUCUGACCGUGUGGUUGAUUCUCCCUGCUGUUUGGUCACUGGUGAGUAUGGUUGGACCGCCAACAUGGAGAGAAUCAUGAAGGCCCAGGCUUUGAGGGAUAACAGCAUGGCUGGAUACAUGUCAAGCAAGAAGACCAUGGAGAUCAACCCCGAGAACCCCAUCAUGGAAGAGCUGAGAAAGAGAGCUGAUGCUGACAAGAAUGACAAGUCUGUCAAGGACCUUGUUCUCCUUCUUUUCGAGACUGCCCUCCUAACUUCUGGCUUCAGCCUUGAUGACCCCAACACCUUUGGCAACAGAAUCCACAGGAUGUUGAAACUUGGAUUGAGCAUUGAUGAGGAUGCAGGUGAAGCCGAUGCUGACAUGCCCCCACUGGAGGAUGCUGAUGCAGAGGCC
Molecule: long non-coding RNA, 522 nt
Filed under: Theobroma cacao (cacao)
Lineage: Eukaryota; Viridiplantae; Streptophyta; Magnoliopsida; Malvales; Malvaceae
Description: long non-coding RNA (TCAC_LNC004131)
Source: RNAcentral